This 253-nucleotide ribosomal RNA is filed under the name uncultured bacterium. Its description in RNAcentral is "partial 16S ribosomal RNA". It matches the Rfam family "Bacterial small subunit ribosomal RNA", at positions 524 to 776 of the family's 1533-position model. The record is from RNAcentral.
UACGUAGGGUGCAAGCGUUGUCCGGAAUUACUGGGCGUAAAGCGUGCGCAGGCGGUUCGUCGUGUCCGAUGUGAAAGCCCCGGGCUCAACCUGGGAAUGGCAUUGGAAACUGGCGGGCUUGAGUGUGGCAGAGGGGGGUGGAAUUCCGCGUGUAGCAGUGAAAUGCGUAGAGAUGCGGAGGAACACCGAUGGCGAAGGCAGCCCCCUGGGCUGACACUGACGCUCAGGCACGAAAGCGUGGGGAGCAAACAGG